This 1219-nucleotide long non-coding RNA is filed under the name Sus scrofa (pig). RNAcentral's name for it is "lncRNA (ENSSSCG00000034990.3)". Lineage: Eukaryota; Metazoa; Chordata; Mammalia; Artiodactyla; Suidae. The record is from RNAcentral.
GCCGAAGCACGUGCCAGGAUGUUUUAUUGCCGCCGCGGCUGCGGCCGGGCCGGGAGGAUGUGUGUGUGCGUGCGUGUGUGAGUGUGUGUGCGCGCGCCCCGGGGGCAGGGAGGCGGGGGGCGGCGGCGGGCGGCGGAGCGCGGGGGCUGGUUCCUGGUCCCCGGGAGAAGCCAAGAAGGUCCUGAGUUCAAGAGAAACAGGUGUCUAAACAGAAGUAAAAUCCUGUGGAAGUUUAGGAUAAUUGAAUUACUCGCAAAUUGGAGUAUCCUGGAAAACUUCCUGGAGGAAGUGGCCUGUGCUUUGUAUCAGGAAAAAUAGCCUGGAGUCCAACUAAGGAAUCAUUGUGCUUCUGACCGAAUUUACCUUCCAAGCCUCAUUUCAUCUUCCAGAACAGCCUUCAAGUCUGCAGCCAAACCUGUACCUCAUGGCAGGAUGGAAAAGUGGUGAUGACAGAAAAUUGUCUGUUGCUUUUGGAAAAGAAAGAAAAAAAAAAGUGACGUUUCCCUGUGUUUGACAUCCUCUUCCUUAAAGGUAUCAGAAUGGUGCGUGGGUUUGGUUUGAAGCUAAAGAAAGGAGAAAGAGCCAGAGAAGAAGAAAAAAAGAUUCCCUGCAGCCUGCCAGGGACGUGGUAACUGCCCUGCCAAGAGUGAUCCUGGGAGAGCUAUUGAAAGAGCUCUGAGGCCUCCUUGGCAUAUGGAAGUUCCCAGGCUAGGGGUGGAAUCCGAGCCACAUCCGUGACCUACACCGCAGCUCACGACAACGCUGGAUCAUCAACCCACUGAGUGAGGCCAGAGAUCAAACCCGAGUUUUCCUGCACACCAGUUAGGUUUGUUACCACUGAGCCGCAACAGGAACUCCCAGGAGCUUUAUGAGUGAAUGAAUAAAUGCAUCAUUCCACCCCCACCUCACCGCCGCCACCCCGGGGGAGAGAGUCUACAGCUUUUAGCAGAAUCUCAAAGUUUUUUGUAACGCAGGAAGGUUGAGGAAGCUGAUCCAGGCAAUCUCGAUGUAUAAGUGGGUACUCUAAGGCCCAGAGAGGGCCAGGGACUGGUUCAGGCAACAUAGGGCAGAGUGGGGGCCAGAAGCCAGCUCGGAGUCCUUUGUACCAUUCCCCAGUGCUGUGGAUCUUGGGAAAUUUAGGGUGGGGUUUAUGGAGUUGGGAUCACCGCUAGAACUUGGAUUUAAAAUAGACACUUUAAUAAAGGUCCUUUGAGUCUCC